This 369-nucleotide ribosomal RNA is filed under the name uncultured bacterium. RNAcentral describes it as "bacterial SSU rRNA". It matches the Rfam family "Bacterial small subunit ribosomal RNA", at positions 29 to 369 of the family's 1533-position model. The record is from RNAcentral.
AACGAACGCUGGCGGCGUGGAUUAGGCAUGCAAGUCGAACGCGAAAUGCGGAGGGGGUAACUCUCUGCAAAGUAGAGUGGCGAACGGGUGAGUAACGCGUGAGAAACCUGCCUUCAUCAGGGGGAUAACACUCCUAACGGAGUGCUAAUACCGCAUGAGACCACGGGAUCGCAUGGUCCUGAGGUCAAAGGUGGCCUCUAUUUAUAAGCUACCGGAUGAAGAUGGUCCGCGUCCCAUUAGCUAGUUGGCGGGGUAAUGGCCCACCAAGGCGACGAUGGGUAGCUGGUCUGAGAGGAUGGGUCAGCCACACGUGGGACUGGAGAUACGGCCCAGACUCCGUACGGGAGGCAGCAGUCGAGAGGCUUCGGC